AGACUUUGAUCCUGGCUCAGAAUCAACGCUGGCGGCGUGCCUAACACAUGCAAGUCGUACGAGAAAGGGCACCUUCNGGAGCCUGAGUAAAGUGGCGAACGGGUGAGUAACACGUGGGUGACCUGCCCUUUGGAGGGGGAUAACCCGGGGAAACCCGGGCUNAGACCGCAUAAGCCUUCNAGGUCAAACUCAAAGGGAAAAGGGUCUAGCUUUCNAGCUUGAUCCUACCGAAGGAGGGGCCCGCCGUCCAUUAGCUUGUUGGUGGGGUAAAAGCCUACCAAGGCUACNAUGGGUAGCCCGGUCUGAGAAGACCGACCGCCACACUGGAACUGAGACACNGUCCNACUCCUACCGGAAGCAANCANUGGGGGAAUUUUUNGCAAUGGGCCAAAACCUGACCCACNACCCCCCGUGGANGACNAAAAGCCUUCCGGUNNUAAACUCCUUUCCUNGGGGAAGAAAAAAUGACANUACCCUUUGGAGGAACCCCCGNUUAAUUCCNUGCCACAACCCCGGUAAAACNGGGGGGNCUACCNUUUUUCGAAAUNCU
Molecule: ribosomal RNA, 550 nt
Filed under: uncultured delta proteobacterium
Lineage: Bacteria; Deltaproteobacteria
Description: partial 16S ribosomal RNA
Rfam family: Bacterial small subunit ribosomal RNA
Source: RNAcentral